UGGGGAAUUUUGGACAAUGGGCGCAAGCCUGAUCCAGCCAUGCCGCGUGCGGGAAGAAGGCCUUCGGGUUGUAAACCGCUUUUGUCAGGGAAGAAAUCUUCUGAGUUAAUACCUCGGGAGGAUGACGGUACCUGAAGAAUAAGCACCGGCUAACUACGUGCCAGCAGCCGCGGUAAUACGUAGGGUGCAAGCGUUAAUCGGAAUUACUGGGCGUAAAGCGUGCGCAGGCGGUUUUGUAAGACAGAGGUGAAAUCCCCGGCUCAACCUGGGAACUGCCUUUGUGACUGCAAGGCUUGAGUGCGGCAGAGGGGGGAUGGAAUUCCGCGUGUAGCAGUGAAAUGCGUAGAUAUGCGGAGGAACACCGAUGGCGAAGGCAAUCCCCGUGGGCCUGCACUGACGCUCAUGCACGAAAGCGUGGGGAGCAAACAGGAUUAGAUAGCCCUGGUAGUCCACGCCCUAAACGAUGUCAACUGGUU
Molecule: ribosomal RNA, 476 nt
Filed under: uncultured bacterium
Lineage: Bacteria
Description: partial 16S ribosomal RNA
Rfam family: Bacterial small subunit ribosomal RNA
Source: RNAcentral